CCUUUACAUCGGUUUUCAUGGCCUUGAUAAAG
RNAcentral lists this non-coding RNA (32 nucleotides) under Geobacter sulfurreducens PCA. Lineage: Bacteria; Pseudomonadati; Thermodesulfobacteriota; Desulfuromonadia; Geobacterales; Geobacteraceae. The record is from RNAcentral.